CUCAAAAAAACCAUGUGUUAUCUUCAUCCAAAUUAUUUUUAUGUACAUAUAAGGAUCUAACCUCAUGUUUGUUUCCAAUAUGAUCUUUACGGUGUGGUUCCAUAAUUACAUAUAGGUACAAUAUUAUGAUGUGUAGAUACAAUUAUAUAGGCUUAUAAAUAACAAAACUAUUUUUCAACUUAACUAUUAUUCAUUAAAAUCUUUACAAUAACAACUACUCCAAAUACACUUUGAAUAUUUAGGAGGGGUACAAUAAUCAUAUGGACAGUCAUCGUCAUGAAUGCAAGAAUGAAAUUCUGCCAUGUAAAGUAAAAAUAAAGGAAUGUUAGUGAAAGGGAAUGAAUAAUUGUGAAUGUAAAAACAAAAAUAGAAAAGGGCCUUACCACCAUGGGUUAUAACAAGACAUAGAGAAAAAAAGAAAAUUAUAGCAUAAAUAAACUUCAAAGUUUGAUCCAUUUCCUCCGUUGCAUGUAACAAAAACAAAAUGUUCUUACAACUUUACAAUGUAAAAAACUAGU
RNAcentral lists this long non-coding RNA (518 nucleotides) under Trifolium pratense (red clover). Its description in RNAcentral is "long non-coding RNA (TPRA_LNC002711)". The record is from RNAcentral. Lineage: Eukaryota; Viridiplantae; Streptophyta; Magnoliopsida; Fabales; Fabaceae.